RNAcentral lists this ribosomal RNA (421 nucleotides) under uncultured bacterium. RNAcentral's name for it is "bacterial SSU rRNA". It matches the Rfam family "Bacterial small subunit ribosomal RNA", at positions 340 to 755 of the family's 1533-position model. The record is from RNAcentral.
UACGGGAGGCAGCAGUGGGGAAUAUUGCACAAUGGGCGCAAGCCUGAUGCAGCCAUGCCGCGUGUAUGAAGAAGGCCUUCGGGUUGUAAAGUACUUUCAGUCGUGAGGAAGGUGUUAAGGUUAAUAACCUUAGCAAUUGACGUUAGCGACAGAAGAAGCACCGGCUAACUCCGUGCCAGCAGCCGCGGUAAUACGGAGGGUGCGAGCGUUAAUCGGAAUUACUGGGCGUAAAGGGCACGCAGGCGGUUAAUUAAGUUGGAUGUGAAAUCCCCGGGCUUAACCUGGGAAUGGCAUUCAAGACUGGUUAGCUAGAGUCUUGUAGAGGGGGUAGAAUUCCAUGUGUAGCGGUGAAAUGCGUAGAGAUGUGGAGGAAUACCGGUGGCGAAGGCGGCCCCUGGACAAAGACUGACGCUCAUGUGCG